GAGUUUGAUCAUGGCUCAGAUUGAACGCUGGCGGCAGGCCUAACACAUGCAAGUCGAGCGGAUGACGGGAGCUUGCUCCUUGAUUCAGCGGCGGACGGGUGAGUAAUGCCUAGGAAUCUGCCUAGUAGUGGGGGACAACGUUUCGAAAGGAACGCUAAUACCGCAUACGUCCUACGGGAGAAAGCAGGGGACCUUCGGGCCUUGCGCUAUCAGAUGAGCCUAGGUCGGAUUAGCUAGUUGGUGGGGUAAUGGCUCACCAAGGCGACGAUCCGUAACUGGUCUGAGAGGAUGAUCAGUCACACUGGAACUGAGACACGGUCCAGACUCCUACGGGAGGCAGCAGUGGGGAAUAUUGGACAAUGGGCGAAAGCCUGAUCCAGCCAUGCCGCGUGUGUGAAGAAGGUCUUCGGAUUGUAAAGCACUUUAAGUUGGGAGGAAGGGCAGUAAGUUAAUACCUUGCUGUUUUGACGUUACCGACAGAAUAAGCACCGGCUAACUCUGUGCCAGCCGCCG
This 513-nucleotide ribosomal RNA is filed under the name bacterium enrichment culture clone ALO1_GLFRUDD03HFZZJ. RNAcentral describes it as "bacterial SSU rRNA". It matches the Rfam family "Bacterial small subunit ribosomal RNA", at positions 9 to 517 of the family's 1533-position model. The record is from RNAcentral.